Molecule: ribosomal RNA, 476 nt
Filed under: uncultured soil bacterium
Lineage: Bacteria
Description: bacterial SSU rRNA
Rfam family: Bacterial small subunit ribosomal RNA
Source: RNAcentral
AGGACGAACGCUGGCGGCGUGCUUAACACAUGCAAGUCGAGCGGUAAGGCCUUUCGGGGUACACGAGCGGCGAACGGGUGAGUAACACGUGGGUGAUCUGCCCUGCACUCUGGGAUAAGCCUGGGAAACUGGGUCUAAUACCGGAUAUGACCUGCUCUCGCAUGGGGGUGGGUGGAAAGAUUUAUCGGUGCAGGAUGGGCCCGCGGCCUAUCAGCUUGUUGGUGGGGUAAUGGCCUACCAAGGCGACGACGGGUAGCCGACCUGAGAGGGUGACCGGCCACACUGGGACUGAGACACGGCCCAGACUCCUACGGGAGGCAGCAGUGGGGAAUAUUGCACAAUGGGCGAAAGCCUGAUGCAGCGACGCCGCGUGAGGAUGAAGGCCUUCGGGUUGUAAACCUCUUUCAGCGAGGACGAAGCGCAAGUGACGGUACCUGCAAGAAGAAGACACCGGCUAACUACGUGCCAGCAGCCGC